RNAcentral lists this ribosomal RNA (501 nucleotides) under uncultured bacterium. RNAcentral's name for it is "partial 16S ribosomal RNA". It matches the Rfam family "Bacterial small subunit ribosomal RNA", at positions 30 to 523 of the family's 1533-position model. The record is from RNAcentral.
AUUGAACGCUGGCGGCGUGCUUAACACAUGCAAGUCGAACGGCAGCACGGGUGCUUGCACCUGGUGGCGAGUGGCGAACGGGUGAGUAAUACAUCGGAACGUACCUUAUCGUGGGGGAUAACGCAGCGAAAGUUGCGCUAAUACCGCAUACGCCCUGAGGGGGAAAGCGGGGGACCGUAAGGCCUCGCGCGAUUAGAGCGGCCGAUGUCUGAUUAGCUUGUUGGUGAGGUAAAAGCUCACCAAGGCGAUGAUCAGUAGCUGGUCUGAGAGGACGAUCAGCCACACUGGGACUGAGACACGGCCCAGACUCCUACGGGAGGCAGCAGUGGGGAAUUUUGGACAAUGGGGGCAACCCUGAUCCAGCAAUGCCGCGUGAGUGAAGAAGGCCUUCGGGUUGUAAAGCUCUUUUGUCAGGGAAGAAACAGCAGCUCUAACACAGUCUGCGAAUGACGGUACCUGAAGAAUAAGCACCGGCUAACUACGCGCCAGCCGCCGCCGUAA